AGUCCACGCCGUAAACGAUGUCGACUUGGAGGUUGUGCCCUUGAGGCGUGGCUUCCGGAGCUAACGCGUUAAGUCGACCGCCUGGGGAGUACGGCCGCAAGGUUAAAACUCAAAUGAAUUGACGGGGGCCCGCACAAGCGGUGGAGCAUGUGGUUUAAUUCGAUGCAACGCGAAGAACCUUACCUGGUCUUGACAUCCACAGAACUUUCCAGAGAUGGAUUGGUGCCUUCGGGAACUGUGAGACAGGUGCUGCAUGGCUGUCGUCAGCUCGUGUUGUGAAAUGUUGGGUUAAGUCCCGCAACGAGCGCAACCCUUAUCCUUUGUUGCCAGCGGUCCGGCCGGGAACUCAAAGGAGACUGCCAGUGAUAAACUGGAGGAAGGUGGGGAUGACGUCAAGUCAUCAUGGCCCUUACGACCAGGGCUACACACGUGCUACAAUGGCGCAUACAAAGAGAAGCGACCUCGCGAGAGCAAGCGGACCUCAUAAAGUGCGUCGUAGUCCGGAUUGGAGUCUGCAACUCGACUCCAUGAAGUCGGAAUCGCUAGUAAUCGUGGAUCAGAAUGCCACGGUGAAUACGUUCCCGGGCCUUGUACACACCGCCCGUCACACCAUGGGAGUGGGUUGCAAAAGAAGUAGGUAGCUUAACCUUCGGGAGGGCGCUUACCACUUUGUGAUUCAUGACUGGGGUGAAGUCGUAACAAGGUAACCGUAGGGGAACCUGCGGUUG
Molecule: ribosomal RNA, 728 nt
Filed under: Escherichia coli
Lineage: Bacteria; Pseudomonadati; Pseudomonadota; Gammaproteobacteria; Enterobacterales; Enterobacteriaceae
Also listed under: 1 other name
Description: bacterial SSU rRNA
Rfam family: Bacterial small subunit ribosomal RNA
Source: RNAcentral